AGAACGAACGCUGGCGGCAGGCCUAACACAUGCAAGUCGAGCGCUGUAGCAAUACAGAGCGGCGCACGGGAGAGUAAUACGUGGGAACCUACCCUUUGGUUCGGAAUAACGUCGGGAAACUGACGCUAAUACCGAAUAAGCCCUUCGGGGGAAAGAUUUAUUGCCGAAGGAUGGGCCCAUGUUGGAUUAGCUAGUUGGUGAGGUAACGGCUCACCAAGGCAACGAUCCAUAGCUGGUCUGAGAGGAUGAUCAGCCUCGCUGGGACUGAGACACGGCCCAGACUCCUACGGGAGGCAGCAGUGGGGAAUAUUGGACAAUGGGGGCAACCCUGAUCCAGCCAUGCCGCGUGAGUGAUGAAGGCCUUGGGUUGUAAAGCUCUUUCGCUAGGGACGAUAAUGACGGUACCUAGACAAGAACGCCCCGGCUAACUUCGUGCCAGCAGCCGC
This 446-nucleotide ribosomal RNA is filed under the name uncultured bacterium. Its description in RNAcentral is "SSU rRNA". It matches the Rfam family "Bacterial small subunit ribosomal RNA", at positions 26 to 518 of the family's 1533-position model. The record is from RNAcentral.